GAUGAACGCUGGCGGCGUGCCUAAUACAUGCAAGUCGAGCGAAUGGAUUAAGAGCUUGCUCUUAUGAAGUUAGCGGCGGACGGGUGAGUAACACGUGGGUAACCUGCCCAUAAGACUGGGAUAACUCCGGGAAACCGGGGCUAAUACCGGAUAACAUUUUGAACCGCAUGGUUCGAAAUUGAAAGGCGGCUUCGGCUGUCACUUAUGGAUGGACCCGCGUCGCAUUAGCUAGUUGGUGAGGUAACGGCUCACCAAGGCAACGAUGCGUAGCCGACCGGAGAGGGUGAUCGGCCACACUGGGACUGAGACACGGCCCAGACUCCAACGGGAGGCAGCAGUAGGGAAUCUUCCGAAAUGGACGAAAGUCUGACGGAGCAACGCCGCGUGAGUGAUGAAGGCUUUCGGGUCGUAAAACUCUGUUGUUAGGGAAGAACAAGUGCUAGUUGAAUAAGCUGGCACCUUGACGGUACCUAACCAGAAAGCCACGGCUAACUACGUGCCAGCCGCCGCCGUAA
Molecule: ribosomal RNA, 515 nt
Filed under: uncultured bacterium
Lineage: Bacteria
Description: partial 16S ribosomal RNA
Rfam family: Bacterial small subunit ribosomal RNA
Source: RNAcentral